UACGAAGGUGGCAAGCGUUGUUCGGAUUUACUGGGCGUACAGGGAGCGUAGGCGGCCAACUAAGUCGGAUGUGAAAUCCCCAGGCUCAACCUGGGAACUGCAUCCGAUACUGGAUGGCUUGAAUCCGGGAGAGGGAUGCAGAAUUCCAGGUGUAGCGGUGAAAUGCGUAGAUAUCUGGAGGAAUACCGGUGGCGAAGGCGGCAUCCUGGACCGGCAUUGACGCUGAGGAGCGAAAGCUAGGGGAGCAAACGGG
RNAcentral lists this ribosomal RNA (253 nucleotides) under uncultured bacterium. RNAcentral's name for it is "partial 16S ribosomal RNA". It matches the Rfam family "Bacterial small subunit ribosomal RNA", at positions 524 to 776 of the family's 1533-position model. The record is from RNAcentral.